Long non-coding RNA from Armigeres subalbatus, 1514 nucleotides. RefSeq lists it as uncharacterized. The transcript has 3 exons. The record is from RefSeq and is a predicted model, not a curated record. NCBI's taxonomy places the organism in Eukaryota, Metazoa, Arthropoda, Insecta, Diptera, Culicidae.
UCCAAUCUGAUAUUUACCAAAACAUUGUCAAAUUAUCAGAUUGGACCUUCGGUUGUCCAUCGGUUUAAUUAUUAAUUUUAAAGAUUUAAAUUUAUUUCUAAGGUAUAUAUCCGAUCUGAUAUCUGACACGAAAGACACGCUGUUAAGGACCCGCUUCAGAAACAGUAAACAGGUCAUCAACAAUCGGAUCCCACCAAAGGGAAGCCUACGGAAGGGUAGCACCCCCCCGGGGACGAGUUCGGCAGCACAGAAGGGAAUGUUAACUCCGGAGAAAAAUUGGACUGGUUCUGGAAAAAGAAAAUGAUAUCGCGGUACGUCAAGAUGAAGGAAAGUUUGAAGAAACGCUGUGAAGAUAUGGAUGAAGCGACGAGCGCACUGCGGGUGAUCAAUCCGGUGGCCCUGCUGGACAAGAAAGCCAAUAUCGAGCGAGUGUUGCUCGAGGGCGAGAAUGACUUCCAGUUUUGCCCGAGGGAAAUGUAACCGGAUUUGAAAAACAAGGCAUUUGACAAGAGCUGAGUGGGACCAAAUUCGAAGGACUAUGGGAAAACCAAGAUGUUGUUCGGUAGCCGUUUUAGAGGAGGAACGUCGUGAGUUGGAACGCAAGCGGCGUAAGAUUAAGCUACUGCAGUCCAAGCAAUCAGAAGAGCUUUCUUUUGUUCGGAAUCUUCCCAAUGAUAUUCCUCAACAGCUUUCGGUAGGCACUAAGGUGACGGCUCCUUUGCGUUCUCCUCAGGAUGGUCUGUUAACGUAAACCAUAGAGGCGAUUGAUGUGAUGUCCAGUUAAUAUCGGGUGUGUUUCGAUCGACCCGAUUUGAAUGCCCUUUACGAUUCCAGACUUCGAGAUUAUAGCCAAUGAUAAUCCGGAAAAGAUUGCUCUGUACUCUAUCACGAAAGACUUCCGACAUAAGUAUCAGAAUGCUUCACUCUAUGUCGCUUCACCUGCCGUAAAAACCUCAUCACUGGUAUCGCUGGCGAUCCUUUGUUUGCGAGGUAACAGUUAUUCGAAGAUUUCCGGUAUGCCCGAGAUCAAUAUGCUUUUCUCGAAAUAUAACAUUCCCGGAUAAGUUACUUUGGUGAUUAUUCGAACAAAUAAAGUAUCCGUCGUCCCGAUGCCACUGCUGGCGGGCGGAAAAGUCGGAAACCCCGGUUCGACAUUACUCCGAAAUUUUCACCUUUUUUUAUCUCUAAGGAUGUGGAUUCAAAAAUGGAAGGUGUAUACACAGUAUUAGCUGCUAUAAUGCAAGACGGGACUGCCCUGCAACAGACGGGAUACUCUGUUAGAUGUUAAAUGUAUGUAUUCAAGUAUCAGAUCCUAUCAGCAAAGCUAUCAAUGUCCUGUACAUGACGCGAUUUCUUGUCGAAAUACAUACACCGAUCCAAUAUGCAACAAGUUAAUGUUGAAGAAUAUGAAUAUUCGCUGAAUUACGCAUGAUCCUCUGUACUAUCCACCUAAAACUAGCUUUCUUUUUCAAAGUUUGAGUAAUUUUCAUUCAAGGUCCUAUGUGAAUUUGAUU